This 468-nucleotide ribosomal RNA is filed under the name Triticum aestivum (bread wheat). RNAcentral describes it as "partial small subunit ribosomal RNA". The record is from RNAcentral. Lineage: Eukaryota; Viridiplantae; Streptophyta; Magnoliopsida; Poales; Poaceae.
AUGAAGAGUAGCACGCUGGUGGCGAUCCUGGUCCUCCAGGCCGUCAUGGUCAUGGGGAUCCUCGCACACUCACAGGCAGCGGACACGGACGACGAUUUCCCCAAGUGCUGCGACCACUGCAACUCCUGGUCGGGGGCCCAGUUCUGCGACGACGUCGGCCCCAAGUGCCGCGACGGCUGCGUCAACUGCCGCGUGGUGCAGACCCGCCCCGUGAAGACAUUCCGGUGUGGAGAUGGACGCUCCGCCUACCCAUACAUCCCUGCCCGCCGCCGUGCAAAAAGAACUGAUCGCUCCACCUCAUCACACAGUGAGAUCGAUGUCGGGCCGGAAAGUAGUAGUACGUAUAAAAUAAAAAAGGCUCCGAUGAGAUGCGCAGAGCCGUUGUGGUUGUACAUGCAUGUCUGUCGCCUACGCCCAGCAACAACUGUCGUCGUUCUCUCUACUUUGAGAGAUACAACAUAUAGUUGA